GGAACGCGACCGCUCACCUAGGACCCCGGAGCAGAGAGUGGGUUAGGCGAGGCGGCGACAAGCGGGCGCACGGCUUCCAGCUACAGCCUAGGACAGGGGGCUGGCGGAGUGGAGAGCUGGGCGUGGGCUCCCGAUCUCCGGUCGCGGGCCUCCGCUGGCUCUCCUGGGAGCCUCUGGGCCCGGCCUCGAGCCUUGGCGGCCUCCGACCUUUUGAUCCUCGGCCGCGGGGCUGCGAUCCGGGACGCCCCAGGCGGACCGCGGCCGGCAUUGUCUGCUCCGUGGUGGGAAGAACUUAGAGCAGGCAAGCGCAGGAUCCAGGACGCAGUGUCAGCAGGCCUUAAGUUCCAGAUGCUUGGGCUUGGCGCAGCUAAAUGAGUUCCUCAGUUUCUCCUCCGCCCCCACCCCACCCCCCGAGAGCGCAAUUGCAGCGGGACAGUUACUAGGAUACAGGACAGGAAGACGCGCGCUGGGACCACGAGGGUGUUUCCUAGAGCACCACGCGUGUCCAGUCAUCCUCUGCGCCGCGGACAGCGUGGGCUGUGUAAACUCCGCGUGCGCUAAGCCCGUAGUUCCAAGCUUCUCUUUCCGUCUUCGUCCUGGGGAUUUUGCAGCUGGCUCCGCCGAUUUGGCUUCUGAGAGAGCGAGACCGCGGGUGAAGCGGGGCCGCGGGCCGGGCAGGUUGAGGACCCGUGGGACAGGAAAGAGAAGGGAAAAGAGUUAGAUCCGGGCGGGGGUCCUGGCCAAAGCCGAGGCCCUGCACCUGGCGCAUUAGACCCUCACGAAGGCACGAACCCGGGUCCCCACCAUCUGCGGUCUCUUCGGUGACCGUGUACCGAGAAACGCGACACGAUCCAAUCUGACUUCUGAAACACUGCCCUGGGCCGGGCCAAGGCCGCGGGCCACAGGGACCCCUCUUUCCAACUCUACUGCAGCUCCAGGGGAAGCCUGGCAGGGCGGGGGGAGGAGGAUCUAGGCCUUCUGCAUGCUCCGGGGGUGCGAACAACUGGGGGUGGGGAUCCCACGCCCGCGGACGCCAGGCCUUACGUGCCCAGCGGGGGCGCUGGUAACUGCGCGCCCAGCGCUGGGGAACGCGCGCGGCACGGCGGGCGCGGGCUCAUUGCGGGGGGGGGGGCCCUCCUGCCGAGUAGCACAUUUCUCUGAAAGCCAAGCCCGCAUGUGCAAUUAACGUUUGCCACGCGAGCAAAUUAGCGGGCGCCUUCCAAACGCCAGAGGCCAAACCUGAAAUCAUCAUUCUCACUCUUCUCUUGUAUUUAAUUAUAAUGAUUGUGAAAAAUUGCAGAGGGAAACGGUUAGCUUGCAAUAAAGUAGCAACUGGUUGAA
Long non-coding RNA from Cavia porcellus (domestic guinea pig), 1341 nucleotides. RefSeq lists it as uncharacterized. The record is from RefSeq and is a predicted model, not a curated record. The transcript is spliced from 2 exons. NCBI's taxonomy places the organism in Eukaryota, Metazoa, Chordata, Mammalia, Rodentia, Caviidae.